GACGAACGCUGGCGGCGUGCCUAACACAUGCAAGUCGAGCGGUAAGGCCCUUUCGGGGGUACACGAGCGGCGAACGGGUGAGUAACACGUGGGUGACCUGCCCUCAGCUCUGGGAUAAGCCCGGGAAACUGGGUCUAAUACCGGAUAUGACUCCAUGACGCAUGUUGUGGGGUGGAAAGCCUUGUGCGGCUGAGGAUGGGCCCGCGGCCUAUCAGCUUGUUGGUGGGGUGAUGGCCACCAAGGCGACGACGGGUAGCCGGCCUGAGAGGGCGACCGGCCACACUGGGACUGAGAUACGGCCCAGACUCCUACGGGAGGCAGCAGUGGGGAAUCUUGCGCAAUGGGCGAAAGCCUGACGCAGCGACGCCGCGUGAGGGAUGACGGCCU
Molecule: ribosomal RNA, 387 nt
Filed under: uncultured bacterium
Lineage: Bacteria
Description: bacterial SSU rRNA
Rfam family: Bacterial small subunit ribosomal RNA
Source: RNAcentral